GAAGUUGGGCUUGUUUAAAGAAAACCGAUGGCAGUUUUGUAAAUUAUAGGAAAUUCAAAGCGUAUUUGUUAUGUUGUAAAUGGAUUUUGGGUGUGUUUCUAAAGUUCAUUUCAUGUAUGAUUUUUUUUAUACAAUUUGAGCCCUUAUAUUAGAUAUAAUAGUAAGACUCCCUUUACAACAGUGGAGAAUUUUCCGCAAUGGGCCAAAGCCUGACGGAGCAAUGCCGCGUGGAAGUAAUGACGGUAUCUGGGGAAUAAACAUCGGCUAACUCUGUGCCAACAGCCGCAGUAAUACAGAGAAUGCAAGCGUUAUCU
Molecule: ribosomal RNA, 314 nt
Filed under: Prunus dulcis (almond)
Lineage: Eukaryota; Viridiplantae; Streptophyta; Magnoliopsida; Rosales; Rosaceae
Description: rRNA SSU_rRNA_bacteria
Rfam family: Bacterial small subunit ribosomal RNA
Source: Rfam by way of RNAcentral